This 253-nucleotide ribosomal RNA is filed under the name uncultured bacterium. RNAcentral's name for it is "partial 16S ribosomal RNA". It matches the Rfam family "Bacterial small subunit ribosomal RNA", at positions 524 to 776 of the family's 1533-position model. The record is from RNAcentral.
UACGUAGGGUGCAAGCGUUAAUCGGAAUUACUGGGCGUAAAGCGUGCGCAGGCGGUUCGCUAAGACAGAUGUGAAAUCCCCGGGCCUAACCUGGGAACUGCAUUUGUGACUGGCGGGCUAGAGUAUGGCAGAGGGGGGUAGAAUUCCACGUGUAGCAGUGAAAUGCGUAGAGAUGUGGAGGAAUACCGAUGGCGAAGGCAGCCCCCUGGGCCAAUACUGACGCUCAUGCACGAAAGCGUGGGGAGCAAACAGG